Long non-coding RNA from Alligator sinensis (Chinese alligator), 1142 nucleotides. RefSeq lists it as uncharacterized. The record is from RefSeq and is a predicted model, not a curated record. The transcript has 4 exons. NCBI's taxonomy places the organism in Eukaryota, Metazoa, Chordata, Crocodylia, Alligatoridae.
CCCGGGGCCCCAGGCGGGGGCUGAGCCGAGCCGAGCCGAGCCGAGCGCCGGGCCGGUCCUUCGCAGGAGCCGUGUCCCGCCUUGAGUGCGCGAGCCGGGACACGGAGGAGAGCUGGUGUAUCCCGGGACAGCGAUCUUGAUCCGGGGACCCUGCAGACGUGCGCGCUUCUUGCCCCGCUCAGAUCCCUGGGGUGGCAGCAGGCUUGCAGUCUGAUAUUAGCCUGCACCAGCAUAGUACAAAAGUGCAGAGCACUGGAACAAAUAGCAGACACUGAGCUCACCAAAAAGCACGCAGCCUUGGACACAUUUCAAUCCGCGACAAGACGAUUCUAGGAAAAAGAAGAAUGCAUUUCUUAGAAUCCCGAGGAAGCAAAAUUACACACUCGGAUGUGCUAAUGCUAAAAGUUGUAUUCAGUUGAUUUGGAGAGCUGUUAAUUGUCACGAUGGAUUUCAGUCGGUGCGGGUGCCUUCGUAAUGUUCCCAUCGGGAUUACAAACACUCCUUACGAAUCAGCAACAAUGACACCGUGAUGGCAGAUUACGCAGCAGGGUCUCAGUGGUCAGAAGAUGCCGGUGGACAAAAAUGCAUCUUUGCUCUCUAACUUCUCCUCCGUGGCCUCCUCCUUGUUCAGAGCAGAUGGCAACUGGACUGGGAUCGGUCUCCAGGAAGUGGCUGUUGGCCUGAUCCUAACUCUGAUCGAUGUGAUCACUUUGCUGGGGAAUACGGUGGUGUUUAUCUGCCCCGUGGUGGAGAAGAGGCUACGCACCGUCACUUACAUGUUCAUCAUGUCCUUGGCCAUGGCAGAUUUCCUUGUGGCUUGUCUGGUCAUGCCUUUUAGGUAAGAGCUCCUGGUGCGGUUAGAUCUGAUUUCCGUGUACCGGCAUAAUGCCCAUCGUGACACCGCACACAGCACAUACUAUGUGAGACAAUAAAGUCUAGUGACGUACGGUACCUGGGCUGUACCCGUGUCUCGGUUUCCCCACCUAGAACAUGGGAAUUAAUGAUGCUUAUGCCCAGAGACCACUCAUCUAUUUCUUGGGCAGUUAAACCCAAGACAACCACAGAAGUCAGCAGGAGUUUUGGGGGCUCAAGGAAUGCAAGACCAGGCCUACACUUCAUCCCACCAACAAAUGUAACCAUUG